UACGGAGGGUGCAAGCGUUAUCCGGAUUCACUGGGUUUAAAGGGUGCGUAGGUGGGAAUGUAAGUCAGUGGUGAAAUCUCCGUGCUUAACAUGGAAACUGCCAUUGAUACUAUGUUUCUUGAAUCUUCCGGAGGUCAGCGGAAUAUGUCAUGUAGCGGUGAAAUGCUUAGAUAUGACAUAGAACACCAAUUGCGAAGGCAGCUGACUACAAGAGCAUUGACACUGAGGCACGAAAGCGUGGGGAUCAAACAGG
This 253-nucleotide ribosomal RNA is filed under the name uncultured bacterium. Its description in RNAcentral is "partial 16S ribosomal RNA". It matches the Rfam family "Bacterial small subunit ribosomal RNA", at positions 524 to 776 of the family's 1533-position model. The record is from RNAcentral.